Non-coding RNA from Pelobates cultripes (western spadefoot toad), 235 nucleotides. NCBI's taxonomy places the organism in Eukaryota, Metazoa, Chordata, Amphibia, Anura, Pelobatidae. The record is from the annotation of a GenBank genome assembly.
CUUUUAUGUGGCAAUUUUGUUCCCUGUAAUGGGUGUUAAACUUCCAAGACAAACAUACCAACUUCUAAAAUUGUUUCACAUUGAAAUUUUAUUUUAGACCUGUAACUUUCAAAAUAAACUGAAAUCCUACACAUAUUAUGUACUUUGUAAAUCAAGACACAUAAAUGAAUUGAUUUUGAAUUACUUUUCCUACGCUUGACAUAUUAUGCACACAUUAUUAUUGCCAAACCUUGUG